This 71-nucleotide transfer RNA is filed under the name Arthrobacter sp. Bi26. RNAcentral's name for it is "tRNA-Gly". It matches the Rfam family "tRNA". From Rfam's summary of the family: Transfer RNA (tRNA) molecules are approximately 80 nucleotides in length. Their secondary structure includes four short double-helical elements and three loops (D, anti-codon, and T loops). The record is from RNAcentral. RNAcentral also lists the same sequence under 1 other name. Lineage: Bacteria; Bacillati; Actinomycetota; Actinomycetes; Micrococcales; Micrococcaceae.
GUAGGCGUGGUGCAGGAGGAACGCAGCAGUCUGCCAGUCUGCGGUCGCGGGUUCGAGGCCCGUCGCCGACU